Diceros bicornis minor is the source of this 1541-nucleotide long non-coding RNA. RefSeq lists it as uncharacterized. NCBI's taxonomy places the organism in Eukaryota, Metazoa, Chordata, Mammalia, Perissodactyla, Rhinocerotidae. The transcript has 5 exons. The record is from RefSeq and is a predicted model, not a curated record.
UUGUUGGUUGUUGUAGUAACGGGGGGAGCAGCCGUCGGCGGCGGCCGUGAGCCCGGCUGGGGAAGGAGGACGGAGGUAGGCGAAGAGCGCGGUCCCCGCCUGCCCGCCCGAGCCGUGGGAAGAUGAGACGGGAAUCAGUGCCACCCAAAUUGUUUGACCCAGUGAAUCUGCAAGGAAAGGUCUCUGAGGCCCCCGUCUGCUGACUGUAUGACAACCCCUAAAGGAAAUGCCAGUCGUGAUGGCCCGGGACCUGGAGGAAACAGCAUCAUCCUCAGAGGAUGAGGACGUGGUAAGCCAAGAGGAUCAUCCAUGUAUCAUGUGGACUGGAGGCUGCAGGAGAAUUCCAGUUUUGGUGUUCCAUGCUGAUGCUAUUCUGACAAAGGACAACAAUAUUCGAGUAAUUGGAGGCUCUACCACCUCACGCUCUGGACCUUCCUCCUCGCCCUGGGGCACUUCCUCUCCGAGGUGUUCGUAUAUGGGACCGCGGCUCCCACGAUUGGCAUCCUGGCACCCCUGAUGGUGGCAAGUUUCUCAAUCCUGGGAAUGCUAGUUGGGCUCCGGUACCUGGAAGUAGAACCAGUAUCCAGACAGAAGAAGAGAAACUGAGGCCAGCCCUACCACCUCCAAGACUUCGUCUUCCACCUUCGCUGUCCUGUGCCUUCAUCCUCUCUGCUCUUUAAUUUCUUCUUCUCUGCUCUGUCAUCAGCCGCCUUACCCACUUCUAGCCUUUUACAUUUUGCUUUUUUUAUUUUAUUUUUUUGCAAGGAAGAUCGGCCCUGAGCUAAAAUCUGCCAAUCCCCCUCUUUUUGCUGAGGAAGACUGGCCCUGGGCUAACAUCCAUGCCCAUCUUCCUCCACUUUAUAUGGGACGCCGCCACAGCAUGGCGCGACAAGCAGUGCAUCGGUGCGCGCCUGGGAUCCGAACUCGCAAACCCUGGGCUGCCGCAGCAGAGCACAUGCACUUAACUGCUUGCGCCACCGGGCCAGCCCCAUACAUUUUGGUUUUUGUUACAUUUAAUUAUUUUUAGAUAAAACAGGCAUACAAAGUAGUAUACAACAUGUAUGUACAAGGUAAAGAAUCAUUUUAAAGUGACUACGCUGUACCUCCAUCCAGAUCAAGAAAUUGCCAGCACCUCCAAAGCUCACUGGUGCCCUUCUCCCACCUCCACCUCUUCCAGGAUCACUUUUCCAGCCUUCUGCCUUUUUCCUUUUAUUUUCAAUCCGUGAUGUGACUUGUGUGGUGGGAACACGUGAACUGUGAAACUUAAAGCUGCUGCCUCACCCAAAGCAGCUGACACCAAGGGCUGCUUUCAGAGGUCGUCCACCCACGUUGGCCUCGUCUCUGCUGCCUGACCCAAGACUCUGAACCAUCCGAGGGACAGGCAGUUCUGAGAAGGGCUCCUCUGUGAGUGAGCGUGGCUCACAUCCUUGUAUCUACAUGUGGAUCAGGGUUGGAAGAGUCGGAGCUGUUUUAGACCUUCUGUUCAGCUGUGUUUGUGUAACAAAUUUUGUGAUAAAUAGAAAAACUCUCUGUUCUGAUCA